UGGGCAACAUAGUUAGACCUUGUCUCUAU
Molecule: non-coding RNA, 29 nt
Filed under: Homo sapiens (human)
Lineage: Eukaryota; Metazoa; Chordata; Mammalia; Primates; Hominidae
Source: RNAcentral